GGCCUUAACACAUGCAAGUCGAACGGUAACAGGAAGCAGCUUGCUGCUUUGCUGACGAGUGGCGGACGGGUGAGUAAUGUCUGGGAAACUGCCUGAUGGAGGGGGAUAACUACUGGAAACGGUGGCUAAUACCGCAUAACGUCGCAAGACCAAAGAGGGGGACCUUCGGGCCUCUUGCCAUCAGAUGUGCCCAGAUGGGAUUAGCUUGUUGGUGAGGUAACGGCUCACCAAGGCGACGAUCCCUAGCUGGUCUGAGAGGAUGACCAGCCACACUGGAACUGAGACACGGUCCAGACUCCUACGGGAGGCAGCAGUGGGGAAUAUUGCACAAUGGGCGCAAGCCUGAUGCASCCAUGCCGCGUGUAUGAAGAAGGCCUUCGGGUUGUAAAGUACUUUCAGCGGGGAGGAAGGUGUUGUGGUUAAUAACCGCAGCAAUUGACGUUACCCGCAGAAGAAGCACCGGCUAACUCCGUGCCAGCAGCCGCGGUAAUACGGAGGGUGCAAGCGUUAAUCGGAAUUACUGGGCGUAAAGCGCACGCAGGCGGUCUGUCAAGUCGGAUGUGAAAUCCCCGGGCUCAACCUGGGAACUGCAUUCGAAACUGGCAGGCUUGAGUCUUGUAGAGGGGGGUAGAAUUCCAGGUGUAGCGGUGAAAUGCGUAGAGAUCUGGAGGAAUACCGGUGGCGAAGGCGSCCCCCUGGACAAAGACUGACGCUCAGGUGCGAAAGCGUGGGGAGCAAACAGGAUUAGAUACCCUGGUAGUCCACGCCGUAAACGAUGUCUACUUGGAGGUUGUGCCCUUGAGGCGUGGCUUCCGGAGCUAACGCGUUAAGUACACCGCCUGGGGAGUACGGCCGCAAGGUUAAAACUCAAAUGAUUGACGGGGCCCGCACAAGCGGUGAGCAUGUGUUUAUUCGAUGCACGCAAAGACCUUACCUGGUCUUGACAUCCACAGAAUUUCAGAGAUGAAAUGGUGCCUUCGGAACUGUGAGACAGGUGCUGCAUGGCUGUCGUCAGCUCGUGUGAGAAUGUGGGAUAGUCCCGCAACGAGCCACCUUUAUUCUUUUGCCAGCGAU
Molecule: ribosomal RNA, 1074 nt
Filed under: Salmonella enterica subsp. enterica serovar Indiana
Lineage: Bacteria; Pseudomonadati; Pseudomonadota; Gammaproteobacteria; Enterobacterales; Enterobacteriaceae
Description: bacterial SSU rRNA
Source: RNAcentral